GAGGGGCUAAGUUCAUCGAUGUUUCAGAGCUAUGCUGGAAACAGCAUAGCAAGUUGAAAUAAGGCUAGUCCGUUAUCAACUUGAAAAAGUGGCACCGAGUCGGUGCUUUUUUU
Molecule: small RNA, 113 nt
Filed under: Vector pAAVsc_gSerpina1c
Description: Serpina1c-gRNA1
Rfam family: Trans-activating crRNA (bases 22-113)
About the family: RNA-guided Streptococcus pyogenes Cas9 (SpCas9) is a sequence-specific DNA endonuclease, the Trans-activating CRISPR RNA form an hybrid with the crRNA (crRNA/tracrRNA). The RNA hybrid acts as a guide for the endonuclease Cas9.
Source: RNAcentral